AGCAGCCGCGGUAAUUCCAGCCCCAAUAGCGUAUAUUAAAGUUGUUGCAGUUAGAAAGCUCGUAGUUGAAUUUCGGAAUCUGUUCAUCGGUCGGGCUUCACUGUCCGUACUGGUGUGGUGGAUUCCUACCUUCUGAAUAACCAGCAUGCCAUUAACUUGGUACGCUGGGGAAGCAGGACCAUUACCUUGAAAAAUUAGAGUGCUCAAAGCAGGCCAGUGCCUGAACACAUUAGCAUGGAAUAAUAAAUAGGACGGCAUGGUUCUAUUUUGUCGGUUUCCAGGAUCACCAUAAUGAUUAAUAGGGAUAGUUGGGGGCAUUAGUAUUCAAUUGUCAGAGGUGAAAUUCCUGGAUUUAUCGAAGACUAAAGCAUUUGCCAAGGAUGUUUUCAUUAAUCAAGAACGAAAGUUAAGGGGAUCGAAG
This 421-nucleotide ribosomal RNA is filed under the name uncultured Acaulospora. RNAcentral's name for it is "SSU rRNA". It matches the Rfam family "Eukaryotic small subunit ribosomal RNA", at positions 569 to 1003 of the family's 1831-position model. Lineage: Eukaryota; Fungi; Glomeromycota; Glomeromycetes; Diversisporales; Acaulosporaceae. The record is from RNAcentral.